GAAUGAGUCUCGAGACUUGCUUGUG
Molecule: non-coding RNA, 25 nt
Filed under: Rattus norvegicus (Norway rat)
Lineage: Eukaryota; Metazoa; Chordata; Mammalia; Rodentia; Muridae
Source: RNAcentral